RNAcentral lists this ribosomal RNA (1377 nucleotides) under Salmonella enterica. Its description in RNAcentral is "bacterial LSU rRNA". It matches the Rfam family "Bacterial large subunit ribosomal RNA", at positions 931 to 2290 of the family's 2925-position model. Lineage: Bacteria; Pseudomonadati; Pseudomonadota; Gammaproteobacteria; Enterobacterales; Enterobacteriaceae. RNAcentral also lists the same sequence under 1 other name. The record is from RNAcentral.
CCGGCUUACCAACCCGAUGCAAACUGCGAAUACCGGAGAAUGUUAUCACGGGAGACACACGGCGGGUGCUAACGUCCGUCGUGAAGAGGGAAACAACCCAGACCGCCAGCUAAGGUCCCAAAGUCAUGGUUAAGUGGGAAACGAUGUGGGAAGGCCCAGACAGCCAGGAUGUUGGCUUAGAAGCAGCCAUCAUUUAAAGAAAGCGUAAUAGCUCACUGGUCGAGUCGGCCUGCGCGGAAGAUGUAACGGGGCUAAACCAUGCACCGAAGCUGCGGCAGCGACACUGUGUGUUGUUGGGUAGGGGAGCGUUCUGUAAGCCUGUGAAGGUGUGUCGUGAGGCAUGCUGGAGGUAUCAGAAGUGCGAAUGCUGACAUAAGUAACGAUAAAGCGGGUGAAAAGCCCGCUCGCCGGAAGACCAAGGGUUCCUGUCCAACGUUAAUCGGGGCAGGGUGAGUCGACCCCUAAGGCGAGGCCGAAAGGCGUAGUCGAUGGGAAACGGGUUAAUAUUCCCGUACUUGGUGUUACUGCGAAGGGGGGACGGAGAAGGCUAUGUUGGCCGGGCGACGGUUGUCCCGGUUUAAGCGUGUAGGUGUGUGUUCCAGGUAAAUCCGGUUCACUUUAACACUGAGGCGUGACGACGAGGCACUACGGUGCUGAAGCAACAAAUGCCCUGCUUCCAGGAAAAGCCUCUAAGCAUCAGGUAACAUCAAAUCGUACCCCAAACCGACACAGGUGGUCAGGUAGAGAAUACCAAGGCGCUUGAGAGAACUCGGGUGAAGGAACUAGGCAAAAUGGUGCCGUAACUUCGGGAGAAGGCACGCUGACACGUAGGUGAAGUGAUUUACUCAUGGAGCUGAAGUCAGUCGAAGAUACCAGCUGGCUGCAACUGUUUAUUAAAAACACAGCACUGUGCAAACACGAAAGUGGACGUAUACGGUGUGACGCCUGCCCGGUGCCGGAAGGUUAAUUGAUGGGGUCAGCGCAAGCGAAGCUCCUGAUCGAAGCCCCGGUAAACGGCGGCCGUAACUAUAACGGUCCUAAGGUAGCGAAAUUCCUUGUCGGGUAAGUUCCGACCUGCACGAAUGGCGUAAUGAUGGCCAGGCUGUCUCCACCCGAGACUCAGUGAAAUUGAACUCGCUGUGAAGAUGCAGUGUACCCGCGGCAAGACGGAAAGACCCCGUGAACCUUUACUAUAGCUUGACACUGAACAUUGAGCCUUGAUGUGUAGGAUAGGUGGGAGGCUUUGAAGUGUGGACGCCAGUCUGCAUGGAGCCGACCUUGAAAUACCACCCUUUAAUGUUUGAUGUUCUAACGUGGACCCGUUACCCGGGUUGCGGACAGUGUCUGGUGGGUAGUUUGACUGGGGCGGUCUCCUCC